GACGAACGCUGGCGGCGUGCUUAACACAUGCAAGUCGAACGGAAAGGCCCUGCUUUUGUGGGGUGCUCGAGUGGCGAACGGGUGAGUAACACGUGAGUAACCUGCCCUUGACUUUGGGAUAACUUCAGGAAACUGGGGCUAAUACCGGAUAGGAGCUCCUGCUGCAUGGUGGGGGUUGGAAAGUUUCGGCGGUUGGGGAUGGACUCGCGGCUUAUCAGCUUGUUGGUGGGGUAGAGGCUUACCAAGGCUUUGACGGGUAGCCGGCCUGAGAGGGUGACCGGCCACAUUGGGACUGAGAUACGGCCCAGACUCCUACGGGUGGCAGCAGUGGGGAAUAUUGCACAAUGGGCGGAAGCAUGAUGCAGCAACGCCGCGUGCGGGAUGACGGCCUUCGGGUUGUAAACCGCUUUCGCCUGUGACGAAGCGUGAGUGACGGUAAUGGGUAAAGAAGCACCGGCUAACUACGUG
RNAcentral lists this ribosomal RNA (468 nucleotides) under uncultured bacterium. RNAcentral's name for it is "partial 16S ribosomal RNA". It matches the Rfam family "Bacterial small subunit ribosomal RNA", at positions 28 to 507 of the family's 1533-position model. The record is from RNAcentral.